RNAcentral lists this ribosomal RNA (253 nucleotides) under uncultured bacterium. Its description in RNAcentral is "partial 16S ribosomal RNA". It matches the Rfam family "Bacterial small subunit ribosomal RNA", at positions 524 to 776 of the family's 1533-position model. The record is from RNAcentral.
UACGUAGGGUGCGAGCGUUAAUCGGAAUUACUGGGCGUAAAGCGUGCGUAGGCGGUUCCUCAAGUCCGUUGUGAAAGCCCCGGGCUCAACCUGGGAAUGGCAGUAGAAACUAGGGGACUGGAAUCUGGCAGAGGGGGGUGGAAUGCCGCGUGUAGCAGUGAAAUGCGUAGAGAUGCGGCGGAACACCGAUGGCGAAGGCAGCCCCCUGGGCUGAGAUUGACGCUCAGGCACGAAAGCGUGGGGAGCAAACAGG